This 426-nucleotide ribosomal RNA is filed under the name uncultured bacterium. Its description in RNAcentral is "bacterial SSU rRNA". It matches the Rfam family "Bacterial small subunit ribosomal RNA", at positions 30 to 449 of the family's 1533-position model. The record is from RNAcentral.
AUUGAACGCUGGCGGCAUGCCUAACACAUGCAAGUCGAACGGCAGCAUGGUACAGCUUGCUGUACUGAUGGCGAGUGGCGAACGGGUGAGUAACGCGUAGGAAUAUUCCAUGAGGAGUGGGACAACCUGGGGAAACUCAGGCUAAUACCGCAUAUAAUCUGUUUAGAUGAAAGCUGGGGACCGCGAGGCCUGGCGCCUUAUGAUUAGCCUGCGUCCGAUUAGCUAGUUGGUGGGGUAAGAGCUUACCAAGGCGAAGAUCGGUAGCUGGUCUGAGAGGAUGGACAGCCACACUGGGACUGAGACACGGCCCAGACUCCUACGGGAGGCAGCAGUGGGGAAUAUUGGACAAUGGGGGGAACCCUGAUCCAGCGAUGCCGCGUGUGUGAAGAAGGCCUAUGGGUUGUAAAGCACUUUCGGUGGGAGGAA